Long non-coding RNA from Saccostrea echinata, 1716 nucleotides. RefSeq lists it as uncharacterized. The record is from RefSeq and is a predicted model, not a curated record. The transcript has 2 exons. NCBI's taxonomy places the organism in Eukaryota, Metazoa, Mollusca, Bivalvia, Ostreida, Ostreidae.
GACCUUAAGUGUAUUUACACACCGAAUAAUGAAGUGGAUAGAAAACAAUACUUUGAUUCAUUAAAAUUUGAUGAAACAGCCAAUCAUAAAAUUAUAUGCGGUGACUUUAAUUGCACACAAAACAAACACCUUGAUAGACAGCCCGUGCCCCUACGCAAGGAUAUUGCUGCAUCAGAACUUAAUGAAUUAAUAAAACGAUAUGAAUUGCAAGAUAUUUGGCUAGAAAGAAAUCUUGAAAAAAUAUGUUAUACAUUUCACAGGGGCAAUUCAAAAUCAAGAAUAGAUUUUUUCCUAACAAGUGAAAAUAUAUUGCACAAAUUAAAUAACUGUGCCAUAAUACACUUUCCAUUUAGCGAUCAUGAUUUGAUAACACUAAAACUACAAGUGGAUAAUAUCCAAAGAGGUCCAGGAUUAUGGACAAUGAAUCAUAAAACAUUAACAAACGAAGAUUUCCGAAAAAAAAAAAAAAAACAUUUGUUGCAUUCUGGGAAAAUUACAAAAACAGUUUAGACAUUUGUCAGGAUAUUCUAUAUUGGUGGGACUUAACUAAAUAUAAGAUAAAAACAUUGUGUAUUGAGAUGUCAAAAAAUUAAAUGACUAAUAAACAAAAACUUGAGAAAUAAGAAAAAGAAUUAGAAGAGAUUAAAAACAAUCUUAAAACUGAUAAAAAGUAUCAAAACGAUCUUGAACAAAAAAUUAGAGAAAUAUAUAUAGAUAAGACAGAAGCGGCAAUAAUACGAUCAAAAUGUAGGUGGUUUAAAGGAGAAGCUCCUUCAAAACAUUUCUUUCAAUUAGAAAAGAGUAAUGGAGAGAAAAAAUUGUGAAGUGGAAUUAAAACAGAAAAAGGUACUUAUAAAACUGACAUUGAUUCAAUUAUUGAAGAGCAAAUAAUUUUUUAUUACAAAUUAUUAAAUACAGAGGAUUGGGAUAGCGAAAGUGGAAAAUUACUAUUAGCGGAAGUACAAUGUAGAUUAGAUGAGGAUGUUGUAAACAUGCUCGAUAGUGAUAUAAAUGAUAACGAAAUAUAUAAAGCAGUUAUGUCAUAAAACCAAAUAAAUCUCCUGGAGAAGAUGGGAUUUUAUCAACUUUUUAUCAGAUAUACCGGGAUAUAAUUAAAACUGAAUUUUCAAAAAUUAUAAAACACAUUUUUCAUAAGGCUACACUCUGUGAAUCAUAAACAAAAGGAGUCAUUUCAUUAAUACAUAAAGGGAAUGAAAGAGAAGAUAUAAAAAAUUGGAGACCAUUAACAAUGCUCAACAAUGAUUAUAAAAUUAUUGCUAAAAUUCUCCCCGAAAAGAUUAAAAGCAGCACUGCCAAAAUUAAUUCAUCCAGAUCAAAAAGGGUUUGUAAAGGGUAGAAAUAUCAGUGAUGCUAAUAGGCUGAUUCAAGAUAUCAUUGAUUAUGCAGAUAAUGAAGAUUUAGAAGGGGCAAUUAUAUUUCUAGAUCAACAGAACGCUUUUGACAGAAUAGAAUGGGGCUGAAUAGAAGCAACAUUAAAGAGAUUUAACUUUGGUAGCAAAUAUUGCAAUUGGAUAAAAAUGCUUCUUAUAAAGUCAAAAACUUGCAUUAAAACAAAUGAUUUGUAUCAAAAUACUUUACAAUUUCAAGAUCAGCAAGACAAGGAUGUCCUAUUGCCCCUUUGCUUUAUGUUCUUCAAAUAGAGCCUAUGGCUUGUGCAAUUAGACAGAAUCCUCAGAUAAAGGGCAUCUUAAUUCC